ACGGAGGGUGCAAGCGUUAUCCGGAUUUAUUGGGUUUAAAGGGUCCGUAGGCGGGCCGAUAAGUCAGUGGUGAAAUCUCAUAGCUUAACUAUGAAACUGCCAUUGAUACUGUCGGACUUGAGUAAAUUAGAGGUAGCUGGAAUAAGGAGUGUAGCGGUGAAAUGCAUAGAUAUGCCGUAGAACACCGAUUGCGAAGGCAGGUUACCAGGAUAUAACUGACGCUGAUGGACGAAAGCGUGGGGAGCAAACAG
RNAcentral lists this ribosomal RNA (251 nucleotides) under uncultured prokaryote. Its description in RNAcentral is "partial 16S rRNA". It matches the Rfam family "Bacterial small subunit ribosomal RNA", at positions 525 to 775 of the family's 1533-position model. The record is from RNAcentral.